RNAcentral lists this long non-coding RNA (5826 nucleotides) under Olea europaea subsp. europaea. The record is from RNAcentral. Lineage: Eukaryota; Viridiplantae; Streptophyta; Magnoliopsida; Lamiales; Oleaceae.
UAUUAUUUUAUUGAAAAAUGUGUCGUUAAAAUGAUGUCAAAAUACUAUUGAAAAAUGAAUUUUUCCAAAAGAAUGGGGCUCAAACAAGGACAUAAUCACAUGGACAAAAGAACUUAGAUCUUGUCUUCAAAAUGAAGACCAACAUUCUUGAGACCGAUAUCUUCUAGAUAACGAAACAUUAACUUGUUUUUGACAUCUUAAAAACUGUUUAAACCAUAGAAGUUUGGACAUAAAGUGAUUAGUGCAUGUAUAAAAACAUUGCCCACUAUAAUACAUCUCAUUACAAAGCUUACAAAUAAUGUCUUUCUGCAAGCAUAUCCUCAUCAUUCAUGUCGAGAUUACUUGUUGCAAAAAAUUUUACUCCUUUGUCAUCAUUAGAACUCUGCACAUAUUGUUGAAUAGUACUUGAAAGCAUAGCAAUCAGAAGAGAAAUCAGGGUGCGUAAUCAAAAUUAUCAAAUAAAAAAAUUCAAAUCCUAUAUAAAAUAAUAAACUCAAAUUAAAUACUUUAUUCCUCGACAACGGCGUUAAAAACAUGUUCAUGCAAAACCUGCAAGUCUAUGGAUCGUUGACAAGUAAUACGUUAUAGUUACAUGUAUCGUUCAACAAAAAAUAAAUUUCAAUUCAAAUUUAUUAGUCAUGUAUGGAAUUCGAAUUAUGUAAACAAAGAAUUUGAUUUUAUGCUAAAUUAUCUACAAAACUUAGGUUUUUAUCAAAUCAGGGUCGAUUGUAUUGGAUUUCGAAUCCGCCUAUUGUUAGUUGUUUCAAUUCUUGAUUUGUAAUUUAGUUUCAUUCAUGAUAAUUUAAUAAAACUAAUGUAUUUAAUUUUCUUUUUCAAGAAAAAUUAAUUAUAUUCUAACCACGAUUCGAAUAUACUCUUAACCCGAAUUUUGAAUGGUUAGAACGCAUCAAAGUUUAGAUUAUCUAUAUAAUUGUAUAAGUGAUAAGUGUUAUUCCUAAUCUCUAUUGCACACAUGUUAAUUUUUAACGCGUUCUCAAUUCAUUACGAGUCUCUCAACACUCAAAUAAGUAACUAAUUGGUGGCCAAUCAACUAAAUAAUAGAAUAGAUAUGCAAAGUUAAUUAAGAAUCACAAGAAUUAAACUAAUGUAUUAGUCUUGAAUUAGAAAAUAACAAAUAGGAUUUAUCUUCAUCUAAUACAAAAGCGGACCAAGCCUAAUAUAUUAAUCUAUAAAUUACAAGAAAAACAAUACAAAAAUAUCACCUGGAUCAUGAAAUAACUCAAAAGAUGUAAUUGAGCUUCAAUUCCUUAUUAUGCUUGAUAUUUUGAUCAUAAUGUUCUCUUUCGAUGCUGAUUGUGGUGAUUCAAAGUGUAUUGAAAAGAUAACUUAAAGAAUUACAUUUCCUUUAGAAAUACAAUUUUUUCAAUUCGAACGUUUUCUAUCCGUAAGAUGGGUCUCAAGAACAUAACUUAUUUGGCUAGUUGAUCAUAUGUGAUCUUCAAUAACAAUUUUAUGGUCCAUAUCAACUACUGAAUGUUUACACUUUGGUUUCCACACUUUGCAUUUCUUUUUGCCCCUUUCUCGUAAUUCCACUAAUUUGCAUUGAGUUCAACCUAACAAAUAUAAUUAAGCUAUAACUCAUUCAAAUCACUAAACAAAUACUUCAAUUUAUUGGCCUGAAAAAGUGUACAAAAUACACUUAUCAAUAUCAUUAAUUGUAUACUGUAAAAAAAAUCUUCCUUCUGAACAAAAUUACACAAGGUACUAUAUUUUGUAGAGUCGUUAAAGCGUCGAAAAACUAAGUUCACACUACAAUCAAGAUGUUUCGCAAACAAGAAAUUGCUGGUUCUCUGUAACACAAAGCAACCCUUGACCGAACAACAAUUAUAACAGAAGUAAAACUCCUCCUUACCUCUUUUUGUUAGAGCUGACAAUAGUAUCAAGAAACUCUUGCACAAAAAGACACACUGCCCUAUUUCACAUUUGAUUUCAAAAGUCCAACAAUAGCAAAUUACAUGGUGGUGAAAGAGAUGAAGUCACAAUACCGGCUCAUGUCACAACUCCAGCGACUGUCUCCAUUUAUUACUCAUCUUCCUUUCAGCUUUCCUGUCAUACGCCGUCCUGAGCCUCAUAUUCAUAUCUAAUAAAAUUUCUUCUUCAUUCCUUAUUUGCAUUUUCCUUAAUUUAGUUAGAAGCUUUUUAAACUUUGCUCAGUUAAAAUCCUUUGCUUCCCCCUUUCCAAAAGGUAUGCUUCCUCAAAUUCUAAAGUAUGCAAGUAAUUAAUUUAUCUUUAAUUGAGGUGGGUAAUUCAUUGUUUGCCUUUUGAAUCUCAUGCUUGAAUUUUUGUAUAUCCUCAACUGGGAAAAUACAUCAAUCUCAUAACAUUUAACGUCAAAUCAUCAAAGAAAUCAAAUACUAUAUGAUAUUCUUCUCGUCUAAACUGGCAGCUUUCAUCAAAAUUGAUCAACUUCCUUAUAUAUUUUUAAGUUCUGCAAUAUCCUUUUUGACAUUUCCCUUUUCAGAACUAAGAUCUUGUCUUCAAAAUGAAGACCAAUAUUCUUGAAAUCGAUAUUUUCUAGAUAACGGACCAUUAGCUUGUAAAUGACCGCUUCAUUGAUAAAAAUAUAAAAUUUAAUCAUUGAUUAAAAGGGAUAAUUGCAGCAGAAGCUCCAAAAUUUUGAAACAUUAGCAAACUUUCUCAGAAUCUUUGAUUUGUUGUAGCCAUCACCCAUAACAUUUCCAAACGUUAUAUCUGAGGCUUCUUUUGGACUUUUGUCAUCCAAAAUUUCGUCAGUUGAACAAAAAUUGAUUUUUACCAUAUUUUAACAAUUUUUAAAGGGGUAAAAUGUUAAAUUAAAAUAAUAAAAAAAGGAAAAAUAAAAUUGAUUUUCUUCCCUAACCCACCCCAAAUCAACCCAAACCAAAAUCAUUGUACUUGUCUCUCACCAUUGGCACCAAAGGAAAUCGUUGACGGUUGCUAACGCCAACACCCACACACGCACCAUAAUUGUAACCACCGCCACCACCAAUACUCAUAUUCAUUUUCCAAUAAAUAAAUUAAAAACAAAAAUGGCUAAAAGUCCACCGAAAAACUCAUCUCCGGCGACGCCCAUGGUCGCGCACUACAACCGAUAGGUAGCUCUCAUCCAGACGAUAAAGAUUAUGACCUAAAAUUAACUAAUAAUGCACCAUUUCGUUCUGAGGUUGAUCUAACAGAUUCGAUAGUCACGAACUCGAAUCUCCCUCCUCAGUUCUUGUUUCACGCGACAUUAAAUCAACCAAUUGGCAUCAGUCGGUCUUAAUCAGGUCCCUAUGACCUUGGGUAGCAUUCCAAUUUCACCAAUUGUUCCAGAAAUCUCUCCAAUUUCAGAUUCAAAAUUUGGUACCCUUCUUGCGCAAACGAACGAUAGCGUCCCCAUUUCAGUUGUGGAGUGGGUUAGAUAGGAAGAACAAUUUUUAUUUUUAUUUUGUUUUUUUUAUGUUGAUUUUAAUGCAAAGUUACCAUUUUGCCCCUUUAAAAAUUAUUAAAAUGUGGUCAAUCAUUUUUUGGUCAACUGAUGGAAUUUUAGAUGAAAACCGUCCAAAAAGACCUUAAAUGUAACGUUUGGAAAUAUUAGAGGUGAUGACUGCAACAAAUCAAAAGUUUGGGAAAAGUCUGCUAAUGUUUAAAAGGUUUGGAGUUUCUGCUGCAAUUGUCCCUUUUAAAAAAUGAUUAAAUUUCAUAUCAGUGAAACUGUCCUUUACUAGCUAAUGGUCCGUUAUCUAAAAGAUAUCGGUUUCAAGAAUGUUGGUUUUCAUUUGAAGACAAGAUUUUGGUUUAGAAAAGGGAAAUGUCAAAACGGAUUUUGCAAAACUUAAAAAUAUAUAAGGAAAUUUUGAUCGAUUUUUUUAUGAAGGCUGUCAAUUUACACGAGAAGAAUCUCAUAUAGUAGUGAAUUUCUUUAAUGGUUUGACGAUAAAUGUCAUUAGAUUGAUAUAUUUGCCCGGUUGAGGAUAUUCAAAGAUUCAAGCAUAAGAAUCAAAAAAGGCAAACAAGGAAUUACCAACUUCAAUUAAAGAUGUAAUCAAUUACAUGCACACUUUAUAAUUUGAGGAAGCAUACCCUUUGGAAAGGGGAGAAGCAAAGGAUUUUAACCCAGCAAAAAUAAAAAGCAACUAACUACAUUAAGGAUAAGGAAAAUAAGCAAUGAGGAAAUUUUUUUACUAAAUUUGAAUAUGAGGCUCAGGAAGGUGUAUGAAAGGAUAGUUGAAAGAAAGAGGAGUAAUAAAUGGAGGUAGUUGCUGGAGCUGUGACAUGAGCAGCUAUUGUGACUUCAUCUCUUUCACCACCAUGUAAUUCAGUAUUAUUGGACUUUUGAAAUUAAAUGUGAAAUAAGACAGUGUGUUUUUGUACAAGAGUUUCCUGAUGCUAAUGUCAGCUCUAACAAAGAGGUAAGGAGGAGUUUUACUUCUGCUAUAAUUGUUAUUCGGUCAAGGGUUGCUUUGUGUUACAGAGGAGCAACAAUUUCUUGCCUGCAGAACAUCCUGAAUGUGGUAUGAACUUAGUUUUUCGACACUUUAACGACUUCGCAAGAUAUAGUACAUUAUGUAAUUCUGUUCAGAAUGAAUGUUUUUUUAAAGUAUACUAUUAAGGAUGCUGAUAAGUGUAUUUUUGUACACUUAUCUAGGCCAAUAAAUUGAAAUAUUUGUUUAGUGAUUUGAAUAAGUUAUACCUUAAUCAUGUGUAAAUUAUGUUUGUUAGGUCGAAUUCAAUGCAAAUUGGUGAAAUUAAAAGAAAGGAACGAAAAAUAGGCAAAAAUAAAAGAAAUUCAAAGUAUGAGGACCAAAGUGUAAACAUUCAAUACUUGAUAUGGACCACAAAAUAAUUAUUGAAGAUUACAUAUGAUCAAUUGGAUGCAAUUCAAAGGUCCAAGGAGUAAAAUAGAGCUGAAGUAUUUGCACAAUUCAAUUUUCAGCCAAAGAAGUUAUGCUUCAGGUGCCAAACCAUAGCCUAAAAAAUUAAUCUAUAUUUCCUUUUUUUUGUUUUUCCUCUCUAUUUUCUGUUGAUCUUAUGGCCAAAAAUUCAAUAUAAAAAAACCUAUACAAACUGAAAAUACACACAUUCUUAAUAUGCAUAAAGUAUGAAUAAACCCAUAUCAAGAAUCCCAACAAAAAAAAAGUUGAAAAUAAAUAAAAAGACAGAUUUUUUUCCCUAGUUGACUCUAAAAAAAAUUAAAAUUCAAGACUUCUUUUCUGCAACACAUAUCAAAAGUCUAUUUACGGCCUCAUCGGAACAAUCAUCAACAAACAAAACUCAUACACCGAAAAUUAAUGAAAUGACGAAAACUCAAACAUCUAACACAUAAUUUAGGGAUUAAGAUAAGAUAAACCCAUACCUUUAAAAUUAUUCAGUGUUAAAACCUAAAAAAUCCCCACACAGUCUGUACGGGGACUCCGCACCAAGAUUGCUACAAGAAGUCAUAUUUCACAAUUUCUGUCAAGAUUGCUAAUGCAUGAGAUAUACAAGAGACAAAUGAAUUAACAAGAUAAGAAGCAUUUUAAUUUACAUUAAACCAAGAAUAUACCUCUCUAUUUUACACAAAAAUCCAAAAUUGUGAAUCGAAUAAACAAAAUUAUAAUUAUCAGAUAAAAUCGAGGAUAUACAUCUCUAUUCACUCGAAAUAAAAAAUUUUGCACGUAGAAUUUUGAAUAAACAAAAUCAUAAAUUGAGAAAAACGGCAUGCCAGGAUUUAGCUCUCUAUUCACGAGAAUUUUGCACGAAGAGAUUAAUCAUAGAAAAACGAGAGAAGAAUUGAAGAAAUGAGAGAAAAAAAAUGAUGAUGAUGAUGAUGAAGAAAGCUUGUGUCUGGGUUUGCGUGGAGAAAU